GAUGAACGCUGGCGGCGUGCCUAAUACAUGCAAGUCGAGCGAACGGACGAGAAGCUUGCUUCUCUGAUGUUAGCGGCGGACGGGUGAGUAACACGUGGAUAACCUACCUAUAAGACUGGGAUAACUUCGGGAAACCGGAGCUAAUACCGGAUAAUAUUUUGAACCUCAUGGUUCAAAAGUGAAAGACGGUCUUGCUGUCACUUAUAGAUGGAUCCGCGCUGCAUUCGCUAGUUGGUAAGGUAACGGCUUACAAAGGCAACAAGGCAUAGCAGACCUGAGAGGGUGACCGCCCACCCUGGAACUGAGACACGGUCCAGACUCCUACGGGAGGCAGAGGAAGGGAAUCUUCGGCAAUGGGCGAAAGCUUGACGGAGCAACGCCGCGUGAGUGAUGAAGGUCUCCGGAUGGAAAACCCCUGUUAUAAGAGAAGAACAUAUGUGUAAGUAACAGUGCACAUCUUGACGGUACCUAAUCAGAAAGCCACGGCUAACUACGCG
This 497-nucleotide ribosomal RNA is filed under the name uncultured bacterium. Its description in RNAcentral is "partial 16S ribosomal RNA". It matches the Rfam family "Bacterial small subunit ribosomal RNA", at positions 28 to 507 of the family's 1533-position model. The record is from RNAcentral.